UACGGGGGGGGCGAGCGUUGUUCGGAAUUACUGGGCGUAAAGGGCGCGUAGGCGGUGUGUCAAGUCAGGCGUGAAAGCCCCGGGCUCAACCUGGGAACGGCGCUUGAGACUGGCACGCUCGAGUUCGGGAGAGGAUGGUGGAAUUCCCAGUGUAGAGGUGAAAUUCGUAGAUAUUGGGAAGAACACCGAUGGCGAAGGCAGCCAUCUGGACCGACACUGACGCUGAGGCGCGAAAGCGUGGGGAGCAAACAGG
RNAcentral lists this ribosomal RNA (253 nucleotides) under uncultured bacterium. RNAcentral's name for it is "partial 16S ribosomal RNA". It matches the Rfam family "Bacterial small subunit ribosomal RNA", at positions 524 to 776 of the family's 1533-position model. The record is from RNAcentral.